Long non-coding RNA from Mus musculus (house mouse), 4995 nucleotides. RefSeq annotates it as predicted gene, 41111. The record is from RefSeq and is a predicted model, not a curated record. NCBI's taxonomy places the organism in Eukaryota, Metazoa, Chordata, Mammalia, Rodentia, Muridae. The transcript has 3 exons.
GGGACCCUUCUGCCAGCACCACUGUGGCCUCCCAUCCGGCUGCAGGAUGGGAUGCUGAGAACCUAGUUCUCACACUGAUAACAUGUGGGGUGGUAAAUGGACAAGGCCCAUCCUUAUGGCUGCUCACAGACCUCACGUAUAAAUUGUUGGGAGCAAUAGCACAGAGCCUGUGGAUUCUCCUAGCCUGAAUAACUCCUCUGUGGCUGAAGGCUGAGUCCAGUGAAUUUUAUUUCAGUCCACCCAAGGAUUAGGAGACAAAUUGCCCUGUCUGGCUCCUCUGAGUGGAAUCACAGAACAUAGAGCCCAAGGCUUGUUUCACAGAGCCAAUCACAGCAUUUGAUAAUGGAGGUGGGACAUACAUUGAUUCUGAGACCUGUAAGUUCUGUGACCUUGCCUAGCUCUUAGACCUAGCCAGGCAAUCAGAAGUUCUCUCCUGGGGAUUUGUAUGUCCUUGUUAGUGGCAAAAGGUAGACUCCGAGGGAUCCUGUGGUGGUAAGUGGAGAAGACAACCCUUGGGGUCCUGCAUGUCCGUGCUGGGCAGCCUGCCUCUGCCCUUUCUGAGAUUGGAAAGGCAGGCCUUAACUCUCAGUUUCCUUUUGUACCACAAUUGACCAUGCCUGACUUCUGUGAGUUCGGGCUCUAUCCCUUAAUUGCCAAUUUGAUACAGCCUAGAGUUGCCUGAGAAGGGAGUCGUGAUUGACAGACUGCCCGGAGGAUCAGGCAGACUGUCCUGUAGGGAUGUCUGCGGGGGAUUGUCUGGAUUGUUAAUUGACAUUGGAGGGCCCAGUUCACUGUGAACAGUAUUAUAUCUCUGGGAAGGCAUUUCUGGGCUUUAGGGGGGAAAAUCUAGCUAAGCAUGCACUUGAAGGGUGAGCCACAAGCAGUGUUCUUCCGUGGUUUCUACGCCAAGGUCCUGCCUGACUUCCCCUGGUGAUUGGCUGUGACCUGGAGCGUAAGGCCAAAUAAACCCUUUCUUCUCCUAAGUUGCCCUUAGUCAGAGUCAGCUACCAAAGAAAAGCAGAAUGGGACCUCACACCUUCAACCGGAUGAGCCCCAACCUGACACUACUGGCGGUUUGAUCGGGACAGUCCUUUGCUGAGAGCACUCCCUGUGACCAGUGCAGAUGAACUGUGCAUGACUGGUACCUGAUGCCUGAGACUGCCUGUGCUCUUCCUGUAGGGUUCCUUGGUGCUGGCACUAUUAACAUUCAGGAAGAGGCUCUGUCCUGGGCAUGGUAGGUCCCUACCUUCAGCCCUGGCCUCUCUUCCAGCUUCAGCCCCUUAGAUGUGACAAAUGUCUCAUAACAACAGAAGCACCUCCUGGGAGGAAGAAUCAUGGCCAUAAUUGGACUCAGUGCGUGAGGAGCAGUGUUCCUUGGGGGCUUGGUGGAUCUUCAGUAUUUGGUAGCAAGAACAUGCAGCAGCCUCUUUGCGAUGAAGGUCCAAUUUACCCACUUCUCGUUCAAGGCUCAAUUUAUUGGAUGCUGUAGCGUAACAGCCAGAAGGCUGGGUGAAACAGUGUGUCCCAUAAUAAAAUUUCUAAAUGAUUGAUAAAGAUGGUGUAGGGAGACCGUGGCAUCCACAGUGGUCUAAUGAGAUCCCCAAGCUUUGGGAAACCUCCCCCAGACACCUAUGCGCUGUGUGUAGACCUCUCCAUCUUUAUCGAGCUGAACUGCCAACAUGAACACAUGCAAGCACGGAUUUAACAGGCCAAGGUGGGGCCGUGCUCAGGACUCUAAGUGUUAGGAACAGCAGAUCAAUGGAGAGUUGUUGGAAGGAGCAGAUGGAGCAGCUGUUGCUGAGUCCAUUGUGGGUGGGAAGGAUGUAAGGAGACGGGGGCACCAGGCCCAAGCAGCGAGCGAAACUUAGGCAGAUGCUCUUGACAGUGGCUUGGGAGUGUUCUUCACGUGGGCUGGGAGUGAGGUAUGCUGAAGGGGAAGGCCUGAAAGCCUAGUGAUGUACUGCCAAGCAGAGAAAGAAUAGUCAGGAGUCAACUGGAAGGCUAGGCAGGCUUUGCAAUAAUAAUAAUAAAACAAUGAUAAAAAUUUUAAUGCAUAAUAGCCAAAUGAUAAAAAUAACCCAAAUAUCCAUGAUGGAUAGAAGGGUAUGACGUCAUAUAGCCACACGAUGGAAUAUUAGUCAGCCAUAAGAGGAAGGAAAUCUUGCCACCAUCUGUCACAUGGGUGAACCUUGAAAGCUUUAUGCUAAGUGAAGCAAGCCCAGCACAGCUAGCCAGUCACAAUUUGAUCCCGAUCCUCUGAGAGCGAGGCACGGUCAGACACAGAGAUGGAGAGGAUGACAGGAGGUCCCUGGGCUGCGGGGAUGAGCAGGCUGUGCUGUUUCAUGGUCUCAGAGUUUCUCUUCGGGAAGAUGCUUGGGCCUGGAGAUGGAGGGAGGCCAUGCUUUCACAUCUCCAUGACUGCACCUAAUGCCUACAUGGUUGAAUCGGUGCAUUUCAUGUUACACAUAGUUCACUGCAACAAAAAAGUGGUAGCAUUUGCUUCACUCUGACACAGGUUUUCAGUGUCAAACUUUCAAUAUUGGAUAGCGAAUAACCCUGAAGAAAGAGUUGUCUGUGUAUGUCUCUCACGAAGACGGAAGUUUCCAAAGUGCAGCUUGUGAGCCAUUCCAAAAGUCCAUGAGGUCAAAUGACUUGCAUAAUGUUGCCAACGCAAGACGUGCCAUUUGUUCUGAUGGCACAAACGCAACAGUGGUGCUUAACCAGGACUGGAGAUGUUUGCCACAGCCUGUACCUGCAGUCACUGUGCCCUGCUGUGCCCACAGUUUAAAAGAUGCGUCCUUGAUGAGCAGAACAAAUGAUUGGUCUAAUCAGCCCCCUGGAGCACGUGUCUUUAUACUAUGUGGUAUGACAUAUUGGGAGGGAAUCUAGACAAAGCCUUUCUGCACUUUCCCCCAGAGCAAUGGUUGCCUCGGGUGUCCAAUCGAAGCAACCAAUGUUUGCAUAGGACAUCCAUCCAUUCAAAAGCCUGAGUGGCAUUAAAGUGAGCCUGUGCAGAUGGGGUAUCUGGGGACACUCACUCAAAGGGCAAUGGGUAGAGCCUGUCCCUUCAAGGGGAACAAGAAGCAAUAUUGCUACCAAUACUAAAAUGCACAGAACUCCACGAAGUGGGAACCUGGACAACUCAUACUCACAUGUGUGUGAAUUUGAGUACUUUCAAUACUUAAUGGGUGUCUUGGUAUCAUCACUGGUAGAAGAAAUGAAGGUGAUGAUUUGGUAUCAGAUAAUUAAACGCAUCAGUCUUGAGAAAGGUCUGUGUGAGUCACCACUGCAUCUUAACCCAAAAUUGUAUACAGGUCAGAGAUCUCCUAGGCUGCAAGAUGGAACCCCAGAGUUGAUUUCAUCUGAUGCUGCAGUUGUGCUGUCAUGGCCUUGGAUUCUACUUGCUGUGUUUGGUAUAAUACCAGAGCAGAAGAUCAACAGCGGUCUAGAAAGACAAUGCUUGAAUCUGACCCAGGCGAAGGGUUCGUUCUAAACUUCAAGAGACUUGGAAGGAAGAGCAGAGAGACAAAUCCAGCCAUCUCCCACUGACCCAGAUAAUUGCAAAGGUAUCACGUCACCCCUCACUACUCUUUGCUGUCUAUUUUGAAAAGCAGAUAUUUUGGAUGGAAAAUAUGUAUGCUAACACAUAGUGGGCUGUGCACUAGAUACAUUGUUAAGUAAAUGUGUCUUAACAAUUCUGACCGUGCAUUGGUUUUCUCAUGAAGAGAUAUCAAGGUGAGCAAAAGCGUUUCAGGGCUCCUCAGGAGGUUUGGAGAGUGAAGUCAGUCUCCUCAUCUGAGAGUCUGAGGUCCUCUAGGUAACACAUGGUCUUUAGUGCUUAGCAAGGAAUUGCAGGAAUGAAUGAACAAGAAUGUGAAGAUGUUGCUAGUUAAAAAACAUAUAGGGUUACCAGGACUAGGGAGAUGGCUCAGAGGAUUAAAUCCUUGGCACAGGUAUGAGGACCCACCCGAGUGAGUUCAGAAUCCCAGAACUCAGGCACCUCAGCUUGCAUCUGCAAUCUGUUGUGCCUAGCACUAGAUGGAAGUACAUACAGAAGAGUCCCUCAAAGCCCACAGGCCAGGUGGCCUGGUGUACAAAGCAGGUGACUGGAGAUCCUGUCUCUAACAAAGGGGAGGGUGACAAAGGACAGUAGAAGUUGUCAACUGGUCCCACAUGUGCUCUGUGGCAAGCCCUAGCCCAUACUCACUCACAUAUGCACAGGAACAAACUCACUGGACACACCCACCUAACCACCCACACCGUACUCACUCAAACACAAAGAUUAUGGGUGAUAUUUUAUUUACUCUUCUGUCCCAGUGACUAGUACCUCACAGAAAUAAGCCGGAGAAGAUCAGGUUGACUCUGGCUUACCUUUUCAGAGGCUUUCAUUCCAUCUUGGUGAAGAAGGUGGCAGCGUAUGUGCUGAAGCUUCCUCACAGCAUCGUGGACCAAGAAGUGGAGAAGGUUGAAUGGAGUCAAGGGUGUAGGGCUGUAGCCUUCAAGGACCCAUCUCCAGGGGACUACUUCUGCCAGGCAAACCCUACCUCCCACAGGGUCUAUAGCCAUAUUCCUAAUCUGAAAGUGGGAGGUGGGGAUAGGGUGCUCUCGAACCAUGCCAAGUGCUGAGAAGAACAGAAAUUAACACCUUCUAAUGAGUAUCCAGAGUGGAACACUAGUGCUUCCUGCCUGGGAGACCCUGUUGGUGAACACAGGUUUUCAGGGGUUUUUGAGGGGAGGGGGGGGGCAACAUUUAAUCCAGCUAAGAAUAUUUUGAAAUUUUUAUGGUAUGUGUGUGUGUGUCUGUCUGUCUGUCUGUCUGUCUAUGUGUCUGUGUGUCUCUGUGUGUGUGUGUCUGUGUGUGUUAUAUAUGUGUGGGCAUCUAUGCCACAAGCACAUAUGAGGAGGUCAGAGAAUAUCUGUCCUUGUGUCUAUUUUCCUCUUCCACCUUCAUGCGGGUUCUAGAAUUAACAAUAGGCCAUCAGUAGUAAGGACUUU